This 406-nucleotide ribosomal RNA is filed under the name uncultured bacterium. Its description in RNAcentral is "partial 16S ribosomal RNA". It matches the Rfam family "Bacterial small subunit ribosomal RNA", at positions 30 to 526 of the family's 1533-position model. The record is from RNAcentral.
AUUGAACGCUGGCGGCAGGCCUAACACAUGCAAGUCGAACGAGUGGCGGACGGGUGAGUAAUUUCUUGGCACCUGCCUAAUGGAGGGGUCUAACUACUGUAAACGGUAGCUAAUACCGCAUACCAUCGGAUGUGCCCAGAUGGGAUUAGCUAGUAGGUGGGGUAACGGCUCACCGAGGCGUCGAUCCCUAGCUGGUCUGAGAGGCUGACCAGCCACACUGGAACUGAGACACGGUCCAGACUCCUACGGGAGGCAGCAGUGGGGAAUAUUGCACAAUGGGCGAAAGCCUGAUGCAGCCAUGCCGCGUGUAUGAAGAAGGCCUUCGGGUUGUAAAGUACUGUCAGCGGGGAGGCGUUACCCGCAGAAGAAGCACCGGCUAACUCCGUGCCAGCAGCCGCGGUAAUAC